CGGAGCGUAGCUCAGCUUGGCUAGAGCGCUGCGUUCGGGACGCAGAGGUCGUAGGUUCAAAUCCUAUCGCUCCGA
This 75-nucleotide transfer RNA is filed under the name Planctomycetales bacterium 10988. It matches the Rfam family "tRNA". Rfam says of the family: Transfer RNA (tRNA) molecules are approximately 80 nucleotides in length. Their secondary structure includes four short double-helical elements and three loops (D, anti-codon, and T loops). Lineage: Bacteria; Pseudomonadati; Planctomycetota; Planctomycetia; Planctomycetales. The record is from Rfam by way of RNAcentral.